RNAcentral lists this ribosomal RNA (460 nucleotides) under Vreelandella stevensii. Its description in RNAcentral is "partial 16S ribosomal RNA". It matches the Rfam family "Bacterial small subunit ribosomal RNA", at positions 338 to 791 of the family's 1533-position model. The record is from RNAcentral. Lineage: Bacteria; Pseudomonadati; Pseudomonadota; Gammaproteobacteria; Oceanospirillales; Halomonadaceae.
CCUACGGGUGGCAGCAGUGGGGAAUAUUGGACAAUGGGGGCAACCCUGAUCCAGCCAUGCCGCGUGUGUGAAGAAGGCCCUCGGGUUGUAAAGCACUUUCAGUGAGGAAGAACGCCUGGUGGUUAAUACCCAUCAGGAAAGACAUCACUCACAGAAGAAGCACCGGCUAACUCCGUGCCAGCAGCCGCGGUAAUACGGAGGGUGCGAGCGUUAAUCGGAAUUACUGGGCGUAAAGCGCGCGUAGGUGGCUUGAUAAGCCGGUUGUGAAAGCCCCGGGCUCAACCUGGGAACGGCAUCCGGAACUGUCAAGCUAGAGUGCAGGAGAGGAAGGUAGAAUUCCCGGUGUAGCGGUGAAAUGCGUAGAGAUCGGGAGGAAUACCAGUGGCGAAGGCGGCCUUCUGGACUGACACUGACACUGAGGUGCGAAAGCGUGGGUAGCAAACAGGAUUAGAUACCCGUC